GAGCUGGGGCUCAGUGGUAGAGUGCCCCCCUAGCAUGUGUGAGGCCCUGGGUUUGAUCCUCAGGACCACAUCA
RNAcentral lists this transfer RNA (73 nucleotides) under Marmota monax (woodchuck). RNAcentral's name for it is "tRNA.Ala". Lineage: Eukaryota; Metazoa; Chordata; Mammalia; Rodentia; Sciuridae. The record is from RNAcentral.